GUGCUCACUUCGGCAGCACAUAUACUAAAAUUGGAACGAUACAGAGAAGAUUAGGAUGACACGCAAAUUCGUGAAGCAUUCCAUAUUUUU
RNAcentral lists this small nuclear RNA (90 nucleotides) under Otolemur garnettii (small-eared galago). Lineage: Eukaryota; Metazoa; Chordata; Mammalia; Primates; Galagidae. The record is from RNAcentral.